UGGGGAAUCAUGGUCAAUGGGGAAACCCUGACGCUGCGACGCCGCGUGGGUGAUGAAGGCCUUCGGGUCGUAAAACCCUGUCGAGAGGGGCGAAAAGCCGGUGUGUUAAUACCACGCCGGCUUGACGGUACCUCUGGAGGAAGCCCCGGCUAACUCCGUGCCAGCAGCCGCGGUAAUACGGAGGGUGCAAGCGUUGUUCGGAAUCACUGGGCGUAAAGGGCGCGUAGGCGGUUUGAUAAGUCAGAUGUGAAAGCCCACGGCUUAACUGUGGAAGUGCAUUUGAAACUGUCAGACUUGAGUAUCAGAGGGGAAAGUGGAAUUCCCGGUGUAGAGGUGAAAUUCGUAGAUAUCGGGAGGAAUACCGGUGGCGAAGGCGACUUUCUGGCUGAAUACUGACGCUGAGGCGCGAAAGCGUGGGGAGCAAACA
Molecule: ribosomal RNA, 427 nt
Filed under: uncultured prokaryote
Description: bacterial SSU rRNA
Rfam family: Bacterial small subunit ribosomal RNA
Source: RNAcentral